Molecule: ribosomal RNA, 210 nt
Filed under: uncultured Campylobacterota bacterium
Lineage: Bacteria; Pseudomonadati; Campylobacterota
Description: uncultured Epsilonproteobacteria bacterium partial 16S ribosomal RNA
Rfam family: Bacterial small subunit ribosomal RNA
Source: RNAcentral
CGCGCAGGCGGCUUUUGUAAGUUGGAUGUGAAAAUCCUAUGGCUCAACCAUAGAACUGCAUCCAAAAACUACUUAGCUAGAGUCUGGGAGGGGAAGAUGGAAUUAGUGGUGUAGGGGUAAAAUCCGUAGAGAUCACUAGGAAUACCAAAAGCGAAGGCGAUCUUCUGGAACAGUACUGACGCUGAGGCGCGAAAGCGUGGGGAGCAAACA